GACGAACGCUGGCGGCGUGCUUAACACAUGCAAGUCGAACGGAAAGGCCCUGCUUUUGUGGGUUGCUCGAGUGGCGAACGGGUGAGUAACACGUGAGUAACCUGCCCUUGACUUUGGGAUAACUUCAGGAAACUGGGGCUAAUACCGGAUAGGAUCUCCUGCUGCACGGUGGGGGUUGGAAAGUUUCGGCGGUUGGGGCUGGACUCGCGGCUUAUCCGCUUGUUGGUGGGGUAGUGGCUUACCAAGGCUUUGACGGGUAGCCGGCCUGAGAGGGUGACCGGCCUCAUGGGGACUGAGAUACGGCCCAGAAUCCUACGGGAGGCAGCAGUGGGGAGUAUUGCACAAUGGGCGGAAGCCUGAUGCAGCGACCCCGCGUGCGGGAUGACGGGCUUCGGGUUGUAAACCGCUUUCGCAGGUGACGAAGCGUGAGUGACGGUAAUGGGUAAAGAAGCACCGGCUAACUACGUG
This 468-nucleotide ribosomal RNA is filed under the name uncultured bacterium. RNAcentral's name for it is "partial 16S ribosomal RNA". It matches the Rfam family "Bacterial small subunit ribosomal RNA", at positions 28 to 507 of the family's 1533-position model. The record is from RNAcentral.